Molecule: ribosomal RNA, 465 nt
Filed under: Vreelandella stevensii
Lineage: Bacteria; Pseudomonadati; Pseudomonadota; Gammaproteobacteria; Oceanospirillales; Halomonadaceae
Description: partial 16S ribosomal RNA
Rfam family: Bacterial small subunit ribosomal RNA
Source: RNAcentral
CCUACGGGCGGCAGCAGUGGGGAAUAUUGGACAAUGGGGGGAACCCUGAUCCAGCCAUGCCGCGUGUGUGAAGAAGGCCCUCGGGUUGUAAAGCACUUUCAGUGAGGAAGAACGCCUGGUGGUUAAUACCCAUCAGGAAAGACAUCACUCACAGAAGAAGCACCGGCUAACUCCGUGCCAGCAGCCGCGGUAAUACGGAGGGUGCGAGCGUUAAUCGGAAUUACUGGGCGUAAAGCGCGCGUAGGUGGCUUGAUAAGCCGGUUGUGAAAGCCCCGGGCUCAACCUGGGAACGGCAUCCGGAACUGUCAAGCUAGAGUGCAGGAGAGGAAGGUAGAAUUCCCGGUGUAGCGGUGAAAUGCGUAGAGAUCGGGAGGAAUACCAGUGGCGAAGGCGGCCUUCUGGACUGACACUGACACUGAGGUGCGAAAGCGUGGGUAGCAAACAGGAUUGGAUACCCCAGUAGUC